CCUACGGGGGGCUGCAGUGGGGAAUAUUGGACAAUGGACCGAGAGUCUGAUCCAGCAAUUCUGUGUGCACGAUGAAGUUUUUCGGAAUGUAAAGUGCUUUCAGUUGGGAAGAAAGAAAUGACGGUACCAACAGAAGAAGUGACGGCUAAAUACGUGCCAGCAGCCGCGGUAAUACGUAUGUCACGAGCGUUAUCCGGAUUUAUUGGGCGUAAAGCGCGUCUAGGUGGUUAUGUAAGUCUGAUGUGAAAAUGCAGGGCUCAACUCUGUAUUGCGUUGGAAACUGUAUAACUAGAGUACUGGAGAGGUAAGCGGAACUACAAGUGUAGAGGUGAAAUUCGUAGAUAUUUGUAGGAAUGCCGAUGGGGAAGCCAGCUUACUGGACAGAUACUGACGCUAAAGCGCGAAAGCGUGGGGAGCGAACGGGAUUAGAUACCCGAGUAGUC
RNAcentral lists this ribosomal RNA (443 nucleotides) under uncultured Fusobacterium sp. RNAcentral describes it as "bacterial SSU rRNA". It matches the Rfam family "Bacterial small subunit ribosomal RNA", at positions 338 to 795 of the family's 1533-position model. The record is from RNAcentral. Lineage: Bacteria; Fusobacteriati; Fusobacteriota; Fusobacteriia; Fusobacteriales; Fusobacteriaceae.